GCAUCAUGAGUCCGCAUGUUCACAUGAUUAAAGGUAUUCCGGUAGACGAUGGGGAUGCGUUCCAUUAGAUAGUAGGCGGGGUAACGGCCCACCUAGUCUUCGAUGGAUAGGGGUUCUUGAGAGGAAGGUCCCCCACAUUGGAACUGAGACACGGUCCAAACUCCUACGGGAGGCAGCAGUGAGGAAUAUUGGUCAAUGGGCGAGAGUCUGAACCAGCCAAGUAGCGUGAAGGAUGACUGCCCUAUGGGUUGUAAACUUCUUUUAUAAAGGAAUAAAGUCGGGUAUGCAUACCCGUUUGCAUGUACUUUAUGAAUAAGGAUCGGCUAACUCCGUGCCAGCAGCCGCGGUAAUACGGAGGAUCCGAGCGUUAUCCGGAUUUAUUGGGUUUAAAGGGAGCGUAGAUGGAUGUUUAAGUCAGUUGUGAAAGUUUGCGGCUCAACCGUAAAAUUGCAGUUGAUACUGGAUAUCUUGAGUGCAGUUGAGGCAGGCGGAAUUCGUGGUGUAGCGGUGAAAUGCUUAGAUAUCACGAAGAACUCCGAUUGCGAAGGCAGCCUGCUAAGCUGCAACUGACAUUGAGGCUCGAAAGUGUGGGUAUCAAACAGGAUUAGAUACCCUGGUAGUCCACACGGUAAACGAUGAAUACUCGCUGUUUGCGAUAUACAGCAAGCGGCCAAGCGAAAGCGUUAAGUAUUCCACCUGGGGAGUAC
RNAcentral lists this ribosomal RNA (707 nucleotides) under uncultured bacterium. RNAcentral describes it as "bacterial SSU rRNA". It matches the Rfam family "Bacterial small subunit ribosomal RNA", at positions 173 to 883 of the family's 1533-position model. The record is from RNAcentral.